This is a long non-coding RNA of Cyprinus carpio carpio, 571 nucleotides long. The record is from Ensembl. NCBI's taxonomy places the organism in Eukaryota, Metazoa, Chordata, Actinopteri, Cypriniformes, Cyprinidae.
AGUUCUUUUGGAGCGCGUAACUUAACGUUACAUUUGAUAUCGCUGACAUAAGCUUGGUUCAGAUGAAGUUCUGAAGAUCAGCGCAGUAUUCAAUAAUCUUGUGGAUGGACCGCAGCGAGUCCUUUUGCAGUUGUAUCCAUCAAAAUGCUUUGCAGACAUAAUGGAAAUGACAUUCACAUUGUAGAGCUUGGACAAAGUUCACACAGGCUCGGAGCAGGAAUUCAUCAAGGACAUGACUGUUGGGAUUACGGUUGUGGAUGACCAAACUGAGCACCAUCAGUCUGCAGUGAUGUGGUCCAGCCAUCCGGUGAAAUUAAGGAUGUUGUGAAAGAAAUUGAAAUGGGCAUUCUGAUUGUAACUGAGGAGCAGCAAUGUGAUGUGCUUCCCAAGGAAUAACCAACAUUGCUCUCAUUUGAACAUCCUGUCAUCACUGACAUCUCCCAUGUCCCCAAGGCAUUUGGACUCCUCAUGGGUCUGUAUGCAGUGAAUAUCCACUACCUCAAGUGCAUGAAAUACACCAUUGAGGCUCUGCAAAAACUUGCGUGUAACAGCUGCUCCCACCAUGUGCUCG